This 220-nucleotide long non-coding RNA is filed under the name Elaeis guineensis (African oil palm). Its description in RNAcentral is "long non-coding RNA (EGUI_LNC045808)". The record is from RNAcentral. Lineage: Eukaryota; Viridiplantae; Streptophyta; Magnoliopsida; Arecales; Arecaceae.
GGAUUGGUGUGAGUGGACAUGCUUCAAGAAUUUGAUCAGCCAGAAAGAUGAUGAUGGUAUUCAAAAGGAGGAUAGAAAGUAGCUUAGAUCUAGGUACCUUGAUCUUCAAUGACUUUUGCCACCAUCCCACAGAUGUUCAAAGGUAAAUAAAAAGAUACAAUGCUGGCUACGAUGAAAAAAUGUAGUGCUAGGCUAUAGUAAGGGUUUAAUAUUGGGCAAU